RNAcentral lists this RNase P RNA (322 nucleotides) under Campylobacteraceae bacterium. RNAcentral describes it as "RNase P RNA component class A". It matches the Rfam family "Bacterial RNase P class A". From Rfam's summary of the family: Ribonuclease P (RNase P) is a ubiquitous endoribonuclease, found in archaea, bacteria and eukarya as well as chloroplasts and mitochondria. The record is from RNAcentral. Lineage: Bacteria; Pseudomonadati; Campylobacterota; Epsilonproteobacteria; Campylobacterales; Campylobacteraceae.
AAGGCACGACAGGCGGCUGCUAAGCAUAGCUUUAGAGGAAAGUCCGGGCUGCAAUGAGACGAGGUUCCACCUAACGGGUGGCUGGGGUAACCCAAGGGAAAGUGCAACAGAGAGCAGACUACCGCGAAAGCGGAAAAGGUGAAACGGCGGGGUAAGAGCCUGCCAGCGUUUUUAGCAAUAAAAGCGGCUUUGUAAACCCAACUUGCAGCAAGAAGAGAUGGUUUUGUCUCAUAUUUUUACUCUUCGCUUGAGCGGCAUUGCGAAAUGACGCCCAGAUAAAUAACCGCCCACGACAGAACCCGGCUUACGGCGUGCCUUGAAU